CCAUCUUCAAACACAUGCAGGUAUGUGCAGGUCACCUUUUUAAAGAGGUCUGAUUUUAAAUCACAGUCUGUUAUGAAUGAAGGGCAUUCGUAGGAAAAAUAUACAGAUAAAUUGUACAUAAUGAACAUUUGGGCUAUGUGUUCUAUCAUCUGUGUAUCUUUAAAGGAAAACUGGACAUGCAUGCAGGGUUUAAAAUAAGUAGCCAUGUUGAACACCGUAGACAAAGUGAGUUAUAGAGAUUUGUUUUUGUUUUGCUUUAAUAGAACCCAGUUCCCGUACGGUUGGCCUACGAGGCGCUGAUUCGGUUCCUGAGGACAUCGUCUAACCAGGAAUCGACUGCAGCAGAGCUCUCCGGGGCCGGGCUUCAUCAUUUCAACUUUUUGGAUGUGUUCUACGAACUGCUCAUCGUCGGCUACUACGGGAACGGCUUUGUACCUGAGACAAUUGAGGGAGGAUUCUUACAGCGGCUGAUGGAACUUGUCAGCAUGUGGGACCUGGAUGUGUGGGAGCCUGCAGUGGAGCUGUAUUUUACAGUGCUUAUUGAUCAGCUGACAGAACUUCUAGAAGUUGUGUUUUCUCAGCCCCUGGAGCUGACCCAGAAGCCUUGGCCACUGCAGUUACACGAACCAUCAAGCAGCAUGUCCAGCUGAUGAUGAACACUUUGGAGAAGCUAUGAGCUAUGUAGUCCCUUAACCCUACACCUCCCCAUUCCCUGCCAUCCCU
Hemibagrus wyckioides is the source of this 723-nucleotide long non-coding RNA. RefSeq lists it as uncharacterized. Lineage: Eukaryota; Metazoa; Chordata; Actinopteri; Siluriformes; Bagridae. The record is from RefSeq and is a predicted model, not a curated record. The transcript has 4 exons.